ACUGGAAGUAUCCCAUAUAGCAUACUUAACUGCACCUUGUUGAAUAUGUUGGAUGUGAGUGAUAAUCAUCUCUUUGGUAGCAUUCCUGGUUGGAUAAGGAAUAUGACUUUUCUUCAAGUCUUGGAUCUAUCAGAGAACAAGUUCUCUGGAACCCUACCAUCUAGCUUUGUCCCUCCACAGAUCAGAGAAGUUUAUUUAUCAAAUAAUAGGCUACAAGGACCACUGACAAAUGCAUUUUACAAUUGUUCUGAAUUAAUGACAUUGGAUCUUAGUCGCAACUAUUUCACUAGAAGGAUUCCAGAUUGGAUUGGCAAGUUUCCAAAAUUGAGCUAUCUUCUUUUGGGUUAUAACAAUCUUGUAGGUGAAAUACCAAUUCAGUUGUG
This 383-nucleotide unclassified non-coding RNA is filed under the name Hevea brasiliensis (rubber tree). The record is from RNAcentral. Lineage: Eukaryota; Viridiplantae; Streptophyta; Magnoliopsida; Malpighiales; Euphorbiaceae.